GUUUACGGCCAUACCAGCCUGGGUACGCCCUGAUCUCGUCUGAUCUCGGAAGCUAAGCAGGGUCGGGCCUGGUUAGUACUUGGAUGGGAGACCGCCUGGGAAUACCAGGUGCUGUAAGCU
Molecule: ribosomal RNA, 120 nt
Filed under: Salmo trutta (river trout)
Lineage: Eukaryota; Metazoa; Chordata; Actinopteri; Salmoniformes; Salmonidae
Source: RNAcentral